CCUACGGGUGGCAGCAGUGAGGAAUAUUGGUCAAUGGCCGGAAGGCUGAACCAGCCAAGCCGCGUGAAGGACGAAGGUGCCAAGCAUUGUAAACUUCUUUUGUCAAGGGACAAAAUCAGGCUCGAGAGCCUGACCGAGGGUACUUGAAGAACAAGCAUCGGCUAACUCCGUGCCAGCAGACGCGGUAAUACGGGGGGUGCGAGCGUUAUCCGGAUUUAUGGGGUUUAAAGGGUGCGUAGGCGGGCUGUUAAGUCAGCGGUAAAAGCCCGGGGCUCAACCCCGGCGAGCCGUUGAUACUGGCUGUCUUGAGAUGUCGAGAGGUAUGCAGAAUGCGCAGUGUAGCGGUGAAAUGCUUAGAUAUUGCGCAGAACUCCGAUUGCGAAGGCAGCAUACCGGCGGCGAUCUGACGCUGAGGCACGAAAGCGUGGGUAUCGAACAGGAUUAGAUACCCGAGUAGUC
Molecule: ribosomal RNA, 459 nt
Filed under: uncultured bacterium
Lineage: Bacteria
Description: partial 16S ribosomal RNA
Rfam family: Bacterial small subunit ribosomal RNA
Source: RNAcentral